CAGGCCUAACACAUGCAAGUCGAACGGAGUUAACCCUCGGGUUAGCUUAGUGGCAAACGGGUGCGUAACGCGUAAGCAACCUGCCCUCAACUGGGGGAUAGCCCGGCGAAAGCUGGGGUAACCCCGCACGGUCCAGUGGAAUCACCUGGUUUUACUGGUAAACAUUUUAUGGGUUGAGGAGGGGCUUGCGUCUGAUUAGGUAGUUGGGGGGGUAACGGCCCACCAAGCCGAUGAUCAGUAGGGGUUCUGAGAGGAUUUUCCCCCACAUGGGUACUGAGAUACGGACCCAACUCCUACGGGAGGCAGCAGUAGGGAAUAUUGGGCAAUGGGCGAGAGCCUGACCCAGCCAUGCCGCGUGCAGGAUGACGGCGCUCAGCGUUGUAAACUGCUUUUACUCACGAAGACGGCGGGCCUGCGGGCUUGUAUGACGGCAGUGAGGGAAUCAGCACCGGCUAACUCCGUGCCAGCAGCCGCGGUAAUACGGAGGGUGCAAGCGUUGUCCGGAUUUAUUGGGUUUAAAGGGUGCGUAGGUGGUUUUGUAAGUCUGGUUUGAAAGCGGGUGGCUCAACCAUCCGAUGUGGCUGGAAACUGCGGAACUUGAAUGUGUUGGCGGAAGCCGGAACGGGUCAUGUAGCGGUGAAAUGCAUAGAUAUGACCCAGAACCCCGAUUGCGAAGGCAGGCUUCCAGGACAUGAUUGACACUGAGGCACGAGAGCAUGGGGAGCCAACAGGAUUAGAUACCCUGGUAGUCCAUGCCGUAAACGAUGAUUACUGGCUGUAUGGGAGUUAUCCUGUGUGGCUGAGCGAAAGCGUUUAGUAAUUCACCUGGGGAGUACGCCGGCAACGGUGAAACUCAAAGGA
RNAcentral lists this ribosomal RNA (861 nucleotides) under uncultured bacterium. RNAcentral's name for it is "bacterial SSU rRNA". It matches the Rfam family "Bacterial small subunit ribosomal RNA", at positions 43 to 908 of the family's 1533-position model. The record is from RNAcentral.